RNAcentral lists this ribosomal RNA (468 nucleotides) under uncultured bacterium. RNAcentral describes it as "partial 16S ribosomal RNA". It matches the Rfam family "Bacterial small subunit ribosomal RNA", at positions 28 to 507 of the family's 1533-position model. The record is from RNAcentral.
GACGAACGCUGGCGGCGUGCUUAACACAUGCAAGUCGAACGGAAAGGCCCUGCUUUUGUGGGGUGCUCGAGUGGCGAACGGGUGAGUAAUACGUGAGUAACCCGCCCCUGACUUUGGGAUAACUUCAGGAAGCUGGGGUUACUACUGGAUAGGAGCUCUUGAUGCAUGGUGGGGGUUGGAAAGUUCCGGGGGUUGGGGAUGGACUCGGGGUUUAUCGGCUUGUUGGGGGGGUAGUGGCUUACCAAGGCUUUGAUGGUUAGCCGGCCUGGGGGGGGGCCCGGCCCCAUUGGGACGGGGAUCCGGCCCAGCCUCCUACGGGAGGCAGCGGUGGGAAAUAUUGCACAAGGGGCGGAGCCCGAAGGCGGCAAGGCCGCGGGCGGGAUGACGGCCUUCGGUUUGUAAACCGCUUCCGCCUGUGACGAGGCGGGAGUGACGGUAAUGGGUGAAGAAGCACCGGCUAACUACGUG